GUUAUUUGUCAAAUAAUUGGAAUCAAAAGUUUCGCUAUCAACACUUCCCUUUUCGCCGCACUCUACAUUCCUCUCGCCAUUUCUUCCCUAAGGCCCAAGGCCAAGCCCAGCCAAGCGGCGGUUACAAACGCCCCGAACUCAAAGUUUAACUCCGAUGAGAUUCUCACACGUGGCGAAUCUGCACUAGACUUGAUUGAUUGAUUGAUUGAUAAAGCAGUUCGUUGAAAUCACUAAGUUCUAACCGGUGACGAAACAAAGUGGUGGUAAACUCUAUUAUGAAGCUGCUUGUUUGUUGAAAUCACUUAUGAGUGUGUUGAUAUCGCUGCCGCUGCUGUUUUACUCUCCGAUCAAGGUGAUGUUGCUAGGAAUACAAUGUUAGGUUCCAACUGCGAAUUGGUGGCUAGAUUUGUACAUGCUACUGUAAAUUCAUCCAAAUCUGAAGGUGCUGAAAAACUUGUCAUAUGGUGAGGUGAGGCUUGAUGAUGAUUUCCUUUGUAAAUUAUUUGAUGAUGAUUUGUUAAACUGGAAGAUAGGGAGAAACAAUUAACAGGUGUUGUUAUGAAAUGUGUAAAAAGUGUAAACUCUCAUUUCUCAUUGCAAGAUAAUCGAAGAAAUUGUUUGUUAAAUUUUUUAGAGUUAACCAUUUGUAUUUUUGUGUAAGGUAAGAUGAUGGAAUUGUAUGCAGAUUAUUGAUAGUAGAAAUUGAAACUUCAAAGCUAAUGGUGUGAUCUUCAAGUGAAAAUUUAAUUUUAUUAC
RNAcentral lists this long non-coding RNA (756 nucleotides) under Medicago truncatula (barrel medic). RNAcentral describes it as "lncRNA gene50364". The record is from RNAcentral. Lineage: Eukaryota; Viridiplantae; Streptophyta; Magnoliopsida; Fabales; Fabaceae.